RNAcentral lists this ribosomal RNA (292 nucleotides) under uncultured bacterium. Its description in RNAcentral is "partial 16S ribosomal RNA". It matches the Rfam family "Bacterial small subunit ribosomal RNA", at positions 505 to 796 of the family's 1533-position model. The record is from RNAcentral.
GUGCCAGCAGCCGCGGUAAGACAGAGGGUGCAAACGUUGUUCGGAUUUACUGGGCGUAAAGCGCGUGUAGGCGGCCUUGCAAGUCGGAUGUGAAAGCCCACGGCUCAACCGUGGAAGUGCAUCCGAAACUGCAUAGCUUGAGUCUCGGAGAGGAAGGUGGAAUGCUUGGUGUAGAGGUGAAAUUCGUAGAUAUCAAGCAGAACACCUGCGGCGAAGGCGGCCUUCUGGACGAUGACUGACGCUGAGACGCGAAAGCGUGGGGAGCAAACAGGAUUAGAUACCCCCGUAGUCC